RNAcentral lists this transfer RNA (74 nucleotides) under Caudoviricetes sp. Its description in RNAcentral is "tRNA-Gly". It matches the Rfam family "tRNA". Rfam says of the family: Transfer RNA (tRNA) molecules are approximately 80 nucleotides in length. Lineage: Duplodnaviria; Heunggongvirae; Uroviricota; Caudoviricetes. The record is from RNAcentral.
GCGGGCGUGACAGAUUGGUAAUGUACCUGGCUUCCACCCAGUCGAUCCGAGUUCGAUUCUCGGCGCCCGCUCCA